RNAcentral lists this ribosomal RNA (256 nucleotides) under uncultured bacterium. RNAcentral describes it as "partial 16S ribosomal RNA". It matches the Rfam family "Bacterial small subunit ribosomal RNA", at positions 524 to 777 of the family's 1533-position model. The record is from RNAcentral.
UACGGAGGGUGCGAGCGUUGUCCGGAAUCACUGGGCGUAAAGGGCGCGUAGGUGGCGGAGCAAGUCAACGGUGAAAGCUCGACGCUCAACGUCGAGUCGGCCGUCGAGACUGCUUUGCUCGAGCACUGUAGAGGCAGAUGGAAUUCCAGGUGUAGCGGUGAAAUGCGUAGAUAUCUGGAGGAACACCGGUGGCGAAGGCGGCGAUCCUCGGACCGAGACUGACGCUGAGGAGCGAAAGCCAGGGGAGCAAAGCGGG